GGUCAUCAAUCGUCAUGCCACCAAAUCAAUCUAUUAUUUAACUUCAUAGUUUUAUAUGGGGGAAAAAAUCCCAUUCAGUAUUUGCUAAGGUAUGUUUUGGCAUUCCUGUAAAACACAUUUUAAAGAUAAUUAUAAAAAAAUUUUCCCAAUCUCAACCCCAAACAUGGCCUAAGUUGAAACCACAGGACUAACCAAAUAUUUGGUCUUAAUAUAAAAUAAAUGAUACAAAGAAACAAGAUCAAGAGUUGUGAUUGCCGCAUAGUUUAUCUCAACCUAUGCAGUAUCUGAUUCUGAGUAUCUUCCACACAAAAUGAGAAGAUUCACUUCCUUCUCAAAGUAAUUGUCCUAUAUGUCAACCAUUUGGGUUCACAUUUAUAUUCAUCAACAUAUUAAUACAGACACACCUCCAUCUUCAGAUUCAGAAAGAGUUUGUUUCUAUGCUGCUCUUGCAACAUCGUUCGUAUCUCUAACUCUGAUUGAAUCAUCAUAGCAUGCAUGUCAGCUGAUACCAGGGAAUGUAAAAUUUACAGUCACUGACGCUUGAAUAUUCACAAGUAAACUAAAAGACAGUUGUAUAGGUUCAAAUAUUUCAACCACACCUUAUUUUUCUGCAAAUUCAUUGGUGUCAGUCAGUUGCUGUGUCCAUAUUGAAGUAUGACUUAUACCAAGCCCAUUGCAGGUAAGUAUCAUUCCUUUAAAUCUGGCAAGAUAUUCCCGCAAAGUGUACUUAUCAAUCUCAUAUAUUCCAUUUAAAUCAUAAUCAGAGCGUUUAGCCGGAUCACUCAACACUUUGUAAGCUUCAUUGAUCUCUUGAAAUUUUGCAGUAACAGCACUAUCACCCUGGUGUUUAUCAGGAUGCCACUUAUAAGAAGCUGCUCAUAGUAGAUGCACCACUAACCAGCGCAAGCUUUAGGUAGUUUAAUCUUAUCUUCUCAUCUGUUGCAUCAUAAUCAACCUCCAAAAUUUUGUAGUAAUCCUUUUGGGUGGUGUUCUCAUCGCCUUCCAUCUGCUAUGGUUAUGGAUUUAGCAUGCAGAUGAUUUUUUGCACACUUCAUCUCAUGGAAGAAAAAACCCAGAGGAUGCUUGAAAUCUUCUAAAAAUAGAUGAACUCAGUUUAGUUUUUACAGAUAUUUUAAAUAAAAACUAAAACGAAAAAGGAAAACUGGGUUUUGUGUGGUGGAAUUUGGGUUUCUUGAAGGAAAAGUGAAGAUUGAGGGACAGGUUCUUCAGAUGCCACGACUGUAUCGAUUAGCGUUUUUUUUUUUUUUU
RNAcentral lists this unclassified non-coding RNA (1269 nucleotides) under Hevea brasiliensis (rubber tree). Lineage: Eukaryota; Viridiplantae; Streptophyta; Magnoliopsida; Malpighiales; Euphorbiaceae. The record is from RNAcentral.